Molecule: long non-coding RNA, 2214 nt
Organism: Carassius auratus (goldfish)
Lineage: Eukaryota; Metazoa; Chordata; Actinopteri; Cypriniformes; Cyprinidae
Exons: 3
Source: RefSeq, a predicted model, not a curated record
GAGAUGUCUCUCAAACAGUAAGAUUACAUGUUUGAUCACCCAUUUUUCUUAAUAUUAAUAAAGGUGUUAAAAUAAAAGGUAAGAACAACGUACACUGUAGGGGUCAAGUUUUCAUAAAUGUGUUACUUGUACACUUGUGUUGCAUAUGAAAUAUUGAUAGAACUCUACUGAUGAUUAAGAAAUCUUUGAUUCUGACAACAUAUGUACUUAUCUGAUUAAAAGACUGAAAGCAGGACUGGAGACAUUGAGGUGCUAAAUGCCAUAAAGGAGCACUCUUCCAUUAUGGAGGAACUCUUUUGUGGUGGUCCACUCACCCUGUCAGCUGCCUCCUCGCUGGUCUCUUCACGAUACAUUACUCCCCGAGAGGAACUGACAAGAGCCUUGGAGGAGGUGGCAGUUGGUCACUGACUGGAUUGGAUUAUUGAAGUUGAAGAUAUGGCAAGUACUUCAACUGCCAGUCCUAACCAGUCAGUUACUGGCUACAUUCACAACAUCACACCUCUGCGUCAUGGGGUUAAACGACAGUACUUCGAAGGAGUCUUACAACAACGCCACAAAGUCUGUAAGCUUCUGGUGUUCAAGGUGAAGAAAGACUGAUGCCCUGUCCAACUUAAUAAUGUGGUUGUCCAGCCGUCAAGGAGACAAGAUGAAAUGGACAUACUGUUCACCCACCAAUCCAAAUGGUGUUGCUUGAGUUCCAGUGACUACCCUUACAACCCCACCAUAAUGGUCCCCAUUCAAGACCAAACAAUUAGCCAGUUUCUGCAAAUGGAUAUGGAAUACCACAGAGUAAGUACUAGUGGUGGGGAGGGGGUAAAACAGUUUUAUCAUUCAAUCUAUUCUAAACCCUUCAAGAAAAUGUUGGUAGCUUGGUUAACAAAUGCAGGUUUACUAUGCCCUUUACACCUCUGCUCAUUCCACAGAUCCAGGAACUGAAUUCAUAAUUAAAUAUCAGGUACUAGUAACCGUAUUAGACUGUUGACCCAAUAUCCUGUUUAUGCUCCUUCAGGUAACUUUACAAGUCAACGUGUUACACUAUCCCUGAUCAAGUCUCUUUCUCUAAGAGUUGGUUGACAUCUUGUUGCAAAGUUACUGUUACCACAGUAGACUAGAUAAAGUGGGAUAUGAAGGUAAUGAAACUAGAAAUAUACCAUAAGACACUAAUUCGUAUUGUUAAUGUUCUGCAGGUUAACAUCACUGUAAAGAUAAUCCAGAUGGAAAGCGAAGGACAUGCAUCAUGGCAUCAUGGAGCUUACUGUCUGGGGCGUACAACAAAACCUUCAGCUGGACUCCUGGUUUUACAUAACCAAUGUUUCGUUACGGAUGUUCAGAGGUACAAAAUUCCUGUCCACGACAUAAGAGACAAAAUUUACACCCACCACAUGCACUGACCCCACAUUUCCACUACAGCCCAGCACAUCUGAACAUGUAACUGGAAACAUCAUUGGCGCCAAAGUCAACAUCAUCUACAUUUGUCCACUUAAGCACAAGUUAAAUCACAUGGCACUUUCCUGCACAAGAGUCCUCUGUGACAAAUGCGAUAUAUUUUACAGAGCCGACGCCAUUACACUACACACACGCCAGACUUAAAAUAACAACCACGACCUCUGAUGACAUCAAAUCCGUUAACAUAGAGAACCACAUUCUCCGAUCCACAAUCCAAGUUCCAAAAAACGCCACAACCGACACAAUGGACGCUCUUUUAGACCUCCCCACUAUGAAUAUGACAAUACACAACUACAUCACCCACCUGGCAUAUCCGGAAAAAUCACAUACAGACACCCCACAACCCAGCAGUCCACCCAUGCACUUCUCACCACCUACACAAUCUGCAGCUCCAAGUGAUGACCGAGCCGAACUUGACCUUUUUAUAGUGGAAUCUCCAAUAGACAGUCAGCCGAAAGUAAACCAGCCAACUUCCCAAUCUCCCACUUCUAUUGCAGAUACCCCCAAUAAGUAAUGUAUUGUUAGUUAUAAAUUGCAACUUGUUUUUUUUUUUUUUUUUGAGGAAAUGUGCUUUUGUUUAAAUUUCAGUCCUGUGAGCACUUGAAGUAGCUCUUAGUUUUAUCCUUCCUGAUUUAAAUUGACUCUGUAAAUAUUGAAGAUGCAAGAUGUUGUAUGCAUUUCCAGUUUUUUUUUCUGUCUUUGACUAUGGGGACAUGUUUUUUCUGACUGUUAAUAAAGAACCCUCACUUCAAUGCUUUACUCUUGUUU